Molecule: ribosomal RNA, 301 nt
Filed under: uncultured bacterium
Lineage: Bacteria
Description: partial 16S ribosomal RNA
Rfam family: Bacterial small subunit ribosomal RNA
Source: RNAcentral
CAGUAGCCGCGGUAAUACGAAGGGUGCAAGCGUUACUCGGAAUUACUGGGCGUAAAGCAUGCGUAGGUGGUGGUUUAAGUCCGUUGUGAAAGCCCUGGGCUCAACCUGGGAAUUGCAGUGGAUACUGGGUCACUAGAGUGUGGUAGAGGAUAGUGGAAUUUCCGGUGUAGCAGUGAAAUGCGUGGAGAUCGGAAGGAACAUCUGUGGCGAAGGCGACUAUCUGGGCCAACACUGACACUGAGGCACGAAAGCGUGGGGAGCAAACAGGAUUAGAUACCCCAGUAGUCCCUGUCUCUUAUAU